GCUCGCAGGAACACCCGCUUUUCAAAAUUACUAUCCUGUAGGCUCCCCCGUAUUUGCUCUUUUGUUUGUUUCUCGUUAAAUAUUACCCGAAUACUGAACAGGCACUCUACAGGUGCUAACGAAUGCUCUACAGAAACGACAAUUUCUUGUCAUUUUUCUCCUUGUCGUUGCUUUAAAGGGACAGUCGCAUUCUCCGAGGUCAAUUUCGAAAGUAAUGCGAAUUCUAAUUCCUUGCCGUCCACUGAAGUGGGCCAGAAAAUACCAUUUCGAUGCGCGGCUUACUUUUCGCGCACGAUGAAAAAGAAACCGGAAUACUUGCGCCCUCGCUCUCUAAAAGUGGGGGCAAACGUCACACGGAUAAGGCCAAUCAGCGCGCGCCCUGGGCAAAUGCGAGCCGCGCGCCUGUUUGGCGAUCGCGAAGCGAAGGCGAAGGGAGCAAACAUGGAGUCGGAAAACGAGAGUGAUGUUUCUCUGUCUGGGGGAGAUUCUGACGAACAUGUUAGCGGUAGCGGCGACGAGUUAAUGCUGGAUGAUGACCCAUACUCUACGGACCCAAUGCCUCUGGAACCCGCCGACCAUCCACGAGGUGUGGCUGCGGCUAACCCGCGGGAUGACAUUUUUAGGUGUCUGUGUGGAGUCUGCGACCCACAGGAGCCCGACGAGCGCCUGUGUUGCCAUUCUGUUGCCAGGGUGGUAGAAAUGUGCAACAGUGCCGCCGUGCAGUGCAUAACACAACACCCAUUACUCAGGAACAUCUGCCUCCGUAGGGAGCUUCUAGUGGUGUACGCGCCUCAAUUCUGUCGCUAUGAUCAACAUUUUAGGCGACUCAAUCCCCAGGACCACAGCUGCCUGAGGUUCACGGCAUACUCGUCAUUCACAAGAUGGGUCUGGGGAUACCUUGGUCCAAGGAACAGACGACAAGUUCCUGGUUGCGUUGUCCGAUCCAUCAGGAGGCAGUUCCCAUCUACGUCCUAUCAAGGCUAUCAGCGUUAGGACCAUCGAAACCAGGCUGUCUUGACAAGAGAGACAAGGUGGUGCAUACUGAUGGCUG
Ornithodoros turicata is the source of this 1051-nucleotide long non-coding RNA. RefSeq lists it as uncharacterized. NCBI's taxonomy places the organism in Eukaryota, Metazoa, Arthropoda, Arachnida, Ixodida, Argasidae. The transcript is spliced from 3 exons. The record is from RefSeq and is a predicted model, not a curated record.